This 1036-nucleotide ribosomal RNA is filed under the name Leuconostoc mesenteroides. Its description in RNAcentral is "bacterial SSU rRNA". It matches the Rfam family "Bacterial small subunit ribosomal RNA", at positions 31 to 1053 of the family's 1533-position model. Lineage: Bacteria; Bacillati; Bacillota; Bacilli; Lactobacillales; Lactobacillaceae. The record is from RNAcentral.
GCCCGUUGCGGCAGACUAUAAUGCAGUCGACGCACAGCGAAAGGUGCUUGCACCUUUCAAGUGAGUGGCGAACGGGUGAGUAACACGUGGACAACCUGCCUCAAGGCUGGGGAUAACAUUUGGAAACAGAUGCUAAUACCGAAUAAAACUUAGUGUCGCAUGACACAAAGUUAAAAGGCGCUUCGGCGUCACCUAGAGAUGGAUCCGCGGUGCAUUAGUUAGUUGGUGGGGUAAAGGCCUACCAAGACAAUGAUGCAUAGCCGAGUUGAGAGACUGAUCGGCCACAUUGGGACUGAGACACGGCCCAAACUCCUACGGGAGGCUGCAGUAGGGAAUCUUCCACAAUGGGCGAAAGCCUGAUGGAGCAACGCCGCGUGUGUGAUGAAGGCUUUCGGGUCGUAAAGCACUGUUGUAUGGGAAGAACAGCUAGAAUAGGAAAUGAUUUUAGUUUGACGGUACCAUACCAGAAAGGGACGGCUAAAUACGUGCCAGCAGCCGCGGUAAUACGUAUGUCCCGAGCGUUAUCCGGAUUUAUUGGGCGUAAAGCGAGCGCAGACGGUUUAUUAAGUCUGAUGUGAAAGCCCGGAGCUCAACUCCGGAAUGGCAUUGGAAACUGGUUAACUUGAGUGCAGUAGAGGUAAGUGGAACUCCAUGUGUAGCGGUGGAAUGCGUAGAUAUAUGGAAGAACACCAGUGGCGAAGGCGGCUUACUGGACUGCAACUGACGUUGAGGCUCGAAAGUGUGGGUAGCAAACAGGAUUAGAUACCCUGGUAGUCCACACCGUAAACGAUGAACACUAGGUGUUAGGAGGUUUCCGCCUCUUAGUGCCGAAGCUAACGCAUUAAGUGUUCCGCCUGGGGAGUACGACCGCAAGGUUGAAACUCAAAGGAAUUGACGGGGACCCGCACAAGCGGUGGAGCAUGUGGUUUAAUUCGAAGCAACGCGAAGAACCUUACCAGGUCUUGACAUCCUUUGAAGCUUUUAGAGAUAGAAGUGUUCUCUUCGGAGACAAAGUGACAGGUGGUGCAUGGUCGUC